CUGCCCGAGUAGCGGGGGACAAACCUGGGGAAACUCAGGCUAAUACCGCACUACGGACCCUACGGGGGAAAGGCGGGGACCUUCGGGCCUCGCACUAUUGGAUGAGCCUAUGUCAGAUUAGCUUGUUGGUGGGGUAAAAGCCUACCAAGGCGACGAUCUGUAGCUGGUCUGAGAGGACGAUCAGCCACACUGGGACUGAGACACGGCCCAG
Molecule: ribosomal RNA, 211 nt
Filed under: uncultured bacterium
Lineage: Bacteria
Description: partial 16S ribosomal RNA
Rfam family: Bacterial small subunit ribosomal RNA
Source: RNAcentral